GACGAACCGUGCGAACGUUAUUCGGAAUCAUUGGGCUUAAAGGGCGCGUAGGCGGCGGUGUAAGUUGGAAGUGAAAUCCCAUCGGCUCAACCGUGGAAUCGCUCCCAGUACUGCAUCGCUCGAGGGGGGUAGGGGCGUGCGGAACUGUGGGUGGAGCGGUGAAAUGCGCAGAUAUCAGGAGGAACACCAAUGGCGAAGGCAGCACUCUGGGACGUGACUGACGCUGAGACGCGAAAUCGUGGGGAGCAAACAGG
This 254-nucleotide ribosomal RNA is filed under the name uncultured bacterium. RNAcentral describes it as "partial 16S ribosomal RNA". It matches the Rfam family "Bacterial small subunit ribosomal RNA", at positions 524 to 776 of the family's 1533-position model. The record is from RNAcentral.